Callorhinus ursinus (northern fur seal) is the source of this 1122-nucleotide non-coding RNA. The record is from RefSeq and is a predicted model, not a curated record. Lineage: Eukaryota; Metazoa; Chordata; Mammalia; Carnivora; Otariidae.
ACGAAACGUCUGAACAGGCUGGGGCUCCAGCAAGGCCUGGAGGGCGGGGCCGAGGGAAGCUUCCGCCGGCCGGGCUCCGCCUCCGGGCGAUCCGCGCAAUCUCCUCUUCCUUGCCCAUCAUCGCCUCGGGGGCAGGGCCCCCAGCGCCCGCCGCGCCAGCCUCAGCCUCCGGGCCUGGACCCCUGCCCCGGUCGUCGCCGUCGCCCGCACCCGUCACAGCCGACGCAGCCCUACCGCGGGCGGGAGACCCUCCGUUCAAACCCCCGGCCCCCGCGGUCGCCGCGCUGCAUCGUGGGACAUGCAGUUCCCACGGCCGCCCACCUCGCGCGCACUGGCCCCGCCCUGGACCACAACUCCCAGAAGACACGCAGAUUUGCAUGGCUUCCUGGGGAGUGUAGUCCUGACGCGGGCCGUCGCCGGAGGCCGACUGGGCCGAAAGACUCGCAGUCCCACAAGCCCCCGCGCGAGCCGGUUAGCCGGCGGAGGGCGCUGCGGUAGCGCGGGGCCAGAACGUACGUGCCGGUCCGGACGCGACCCCAGGUUUGUGCCUUCCCCGACCCUCCGCCCCGGAGCGCCAGGUGGUCCGACUGUGUAGGACCCAUAGAGGCACGUUCGAGUUCGUCUCCUGUCUCCACCCGCUUGGAGCCUUCUUCUUCCACCUUCCGCUGUCCCAGGACAGCCGGACCCGCGGGAGGACUCCCGACCCCACCCCGCGAGCCUGCGCGGACCCCCUGCGCGGACCCCCUGCGCGCUCUGGCCUGAAUCCUGGCCUCUGAGCCCUGACACUUGUCCACGGAGGCCGCCCGGCCAGGCCUCUGAGACAGACGGGGAAGCCGCUUCGAGGAUUUCCUGAAGCAAACUCACCAUUGUGCUGAAGACCUCCAGCCACCACAACUGGGCAUCCCGGGAGGCUGAGCUGAGCCAUGGCUUCUGACAAAGCCUGGGCCACAGGGGAGGGAGGGCAGCAUAGCCCUCAGCCUCUACCCUCUGGAGCAGGCAGAUCUAUGUCCAAGAGAACUCAAAACAGCUUUGGGUCCCUAAGAGUAGAAUCAGAAAGGAGAGGGGCGCCUGGGUGGCUCAGUCGUGAAGCGUCUGCCUUCGGCUCAGGUCAUGAUCCCGGGG